Molecule: ribosomal RNA, 253 nt
Filed under: uncultured bacterium
Lineage: Bacteria
Description: partial 16S ribosomal RNA
Rfam family: Bacterial small subunit ribosomal RNA
Source: RNAcentral
CACGUAGGGUGCAAGCGUUGCUCGGAAUCAUUGGGCGUAAAGCGCACGUAGGCGGUCUCGAAAGUCAGAUGUGAAAUCCCUCGGCUUAACCAAGGAAGUGCAUUUGAAACUUCGAGACUUGAAUACUGGAGAGGGUCGCAGAAUUCUCGGUGUAGAGGUGAAAUUCGUAGAUAUCGGGAGGAAUACCAGUGGCGAAGGCGGCGACCUGGUCAGAUAUUGACGCUGAGGUGCGAAAGCGUGGGGAGCAAACAGG